This 253-nucleotide ribosomal RNA is filed under the name uncultured bacterium. RNAcentral describes it as "partial 16S ribosomal RNA". It matches the Rfam family "Bacterial small subunit ribosomal RNA", at positions 524 to 776 of the family's 1533-position model. The record is from RNAcentral.
UACAGAGGGUGCAAGCGUUGUUCGGAAUUAUUGGGCGUAAAGGGCGCGUAGGCGGCCUGAUAAGUAGGGGGUGAAAUCCUGCGGCUUAACCGCAGGGCUGCCUUCUAAACUGUCAGGCUUGAGCACAGUAGAGGCAGGUGGAAUUCCCGGUGUAGCGGUGGAAUGCGUAGAGAUCGGGAAGAACAUCAGUGGCGAAGGCGGCCUGCUGGGCUGUUGCUGACGCUGAGGCGCGACAGCGUGGGGAGCAAACAGG